This 74-nucleotide transfer RNA is filed under the name Corallina chilensis. RNAcentral describes it as "tRNA-Met". The record is from RNAcentral. Lineage: Eukaryota; Rhodophyta; Florideophyceae; Corallinales; Corallinaceae.
GUUUGAUAGCUGUGUAUUAUGUUGUACCUUUGUUGCAAAGAAUUAAAUCUACUUUUGCAAUCUUGGUAACAGCU